AGCGAACGUUAGCGGCGGGCUUAACACAUGCAAGUCGAGCGAGAAAGUGGCUUCGGCCAUCAGUAAAGCGGCGGACGGGUGAGUAACACGUAGGUAAUCUUCCCUUGAGCGGGGGACAACGUUUCGAAAGGAACGCUAAUACCGCAUAAGUUUCCAGGAACUCUGGUUCCUGGAAGGAAAGCUAGGUCGCAAGAUCCGGCACUCGAGGAGGAGCCUGCGUCGCAUCAGCUAGUUGGUGGGGAAUGGCCUACCAAGGCGAAGACGCGUAGCUGGUCUGAGAGGAUGAUCAGCCACACUGGGACUGAGACACGGCCCAGACUCCUACGGGAGGCAGCAGUGGGGAAUAUUGGACAAUGGCGCAAGCCUGAUCCAGCCACGCCGCGUGAGUGAUGAAGGCC
Molecule: ribosomal RNA, 398 nt
Filed under: uncultured bacterium
Lineage: Bacteria
Description: bacterial SSU rRNA
Rfam family: Bacterial small subunit ribosomal RNA
Source: RNAcentral